This is a long non-coding RNA of Patella vulgata (common limpet), 2342 nucleotides long. RefSeq lists it as uncharacterized. The transcript is spliced from 8 exons. The record is from RefSeq and is a predicted model, not a curated record. Lineage: Eukaryota; Metazoa; Mollusca; Gastropoda; Patellidae.
CUCUGAUUUCCUAGAAUUUGUUUGAACUGAAAAUAAUUCUAUCAAGCGUUAGAAAUGGGGAAAGGGAGGGCUGUAAAUUCUUCAGCGCAUGCUAUCAUUAGAUGUUUUCUUGUAUUAGUUAACAUAUUAUCAAUGAUUGUUGGUUUUACAAUGUUUGGAUUUGGUCUUUAUGUAAGGUUCUUUUUAAAAAAACCUUUCCUGGGCAAAUAUUUUACAGACACAGUUAAAGAUAUAUAUAAAGAGAUCAAUCAGAAUUCCACAGUACCAGACAAUCUCGAAUUAUAUGAUUUUACAUAUAAUGUUGCAAUGUCACUGAUCUUCGUGGGACUCGUGUUGGUCAUUCUGACUGUAAUUGCAUGUGCAGGUGCCUGUAAAUCAUUGCCACUGUUGGUGCUGUUUAAUGUGUUGAUAUUGGCUAUGAUAAUAGCAGAAAUAACAGUCGCUAGUUUAGUAAUACCAGCAUCAUCACCAAUCCAUGAUGCCAGUAGAAAUGAUUUGUUAAACAACUUAAAACAUUAUAAUGUGAAUGGUUCUGAUGAUUUCUCUGCCACAAUGAAUAUACUGAUGCUUGGGUUGGACUGUUGUGGAAUAAAUGAACAAGACGAUUUUGAUGAUGUAACUAUGAUUUAUAAAGGGGUUAACGUGAAGAUACCACCAGCAUGUUGUAAGAUCGAACCUGGGGGAAAAACCUUACUAAACUGUGAAAACAAUGCAACUAAUUCUAAUUCUCAGACUGAGGGAUGUUACAAUGCCUUUCACGGAGUCUUAAUGUCAUCAGUUAAUUGGCUUAUUGGAUAUACAGUUCUAUUUAUAUUGAUACAGGUUCUGCAAUUCUGUGCUUCCUACCACGUGGUUGUAAAUUAUGAAAGAAUUGGAUAUCUCCGCAUUUAAUAAAAGAGUCUUAGAAAAUGAAGAAAUAAAAGGAAUUGAAGAUUUUAUCCGAAUAUAUAUUUAAAUUAUUUCAGUCUGAUUAAAAUGCAGAUCUAUAUUUCGUUUCGUUUCGUUUUUUUUAUACUUCCGAUGGCCUCUGUAGUGGGAGGUCGCGUCAGAGGUCAUACGAUCGGUUUUUGACCCUACGACGUCAAACAUUUGAUUCACCAAUCAGCGUUGAUGUUUCUAGUGGGCUACCCACAGUUCCGUGCCAAAAACUCGCCGUAACAGACCUUUUCAUUGGCUAAUUCCCCACAUCACUCAGAACGCUUGUUAUAUAAUAACUCCACCAGAUCCUAGUGUAGUAAUGACAAGCAAACGAAAUUUUGAACUACACGAAACGAAACGAAAUAGGAUCUGCGUUUUAAUCAGAUUGAAAUUAUAUGGGUGGGGCUAUUAAAUUAAACCAGUUUACCCGUCUCUUGGAAACACAAUAACUGUAUACUCAGUUAUUUGAAAAGUGUGGCAUUCAUAUACAUGUAUUACACAAAACAGGGCUUUAUAACCAAUCAAUCCAUUUUAGAGGUGUGUCAGAAAUAUAAUCUAGAAAUAAACUGUUAUAUAGUUUGGAAACAGAAUAAUAUAACCCAAGCGGCGAUACCACAUAGCUGGAAAGACAUAAUAAAUACUCAUUCAAAUCCUGAUGAUUGUAUUCCAGAAUACACCUUUAAAAUGGAUGACAUUCUGCUUUCACUCUUAAACAUACAUUAUGCAAGAGCUAAAUCUGCCUACUGCGGGUCUUUUUUUAGGCACGAAAUGUUAACUAAAUUAUUAAUUAGACAUUAAUUAACAUAUCCAGACCAUAAUUAACUCUCGAUGCCAUCGCUAGCCUGCGAUAUUUAGUGGCUUGGAAUAUAUUUUUGAGAAAUAAUUAAACGUAAAAAUGAAUAACGGCUAAAAGCUAAUAUCUCGGUUUAGAGUGGAGCAAUUUGAUUGAAGUUCUCAGCAUAUUCUAUUUACGUUAUCUAUUUCGUAACUACUAUAGUGAGAACUGUCAACUCGUUGUCUAAUCUCCCAUAAUGCACCUUUAAUGAUUUUAAAACCAAAGUAUGAUACUAACUAUUAUUAAAAAGUGUAUAUGUAAAGAAGCCACAUAUGUAAAAUUUUGGAACAAUAAAUUUGUACAGUUUUUAAUACAGACCUUUAGAAGAUACAUAAUUUCACAUAAUCAUAAAACUAUAAAUAAAAAUAGAAUCAAACGGAACAGUUACACUUGAUUUAUGAGCACUUAAGAAAUUUUGAAAUAAUUAUGUAUUGUAUAUAAAUUGGCAAAUAUUUUAAUAUUAUGCAUAUAUGAUUUUAAUGUUUUACCGUAAAUAUGUGAAAUCCAAAAUCCAUCAUAAAAGUACUCGUAUUUUUAAAAUCAUCCAUUUUAUUAUGUCUCUUUAUAAAAAUAAUUUAAUUAUUUGUCA